GUCCACGCCGUAAACGAUGUCUACUAGCCGUUGGGGAACUUGAUUCUUUAGUGGCGCAGCUAACGCACUAAGUAGACCGCCUGGGGAGUACGGCCGCAAGGUUAAAACUCAAAUGAAUUGACGGGGGCCCGCACAAGCGGUGGAGCAUGUGGUUUAAUUCGAUGCAACGCGAAGAACCUUACCUGGUCUUGACAUCCACAGAACUUUCCAGAGAUGGAUUGGUGCCUUCGGGAACUGUGAGACAGGUGCUGCAUGGCU
RNAcentral lists this ribosomal RNA (258 nucleotides) under uncultured bacterium. RNAcentral's name for it is "partial 16S ribosomal RNA". It matches the Rfam family "Bacterial small subunit ribosomal RNA", at positions 793 to 1050 of the family's 1533-position model. The record is from RNAcentral.